UAAGGAAUAUUGGUCAAUGGACGCAAGUCUGAACCAGCCAUGCCGCGUGAAGGAUGAAUGUCCUCUGGAUUGUAAACUUCUUUUAUCGAAGACGAAAUGUAGGUUUUCUAACUUACUUGACGGUACUCGAUGAAUAAGCACCGGCUAACUCCGUGCCAGCAGCCGCGGUAAUACGGAGGGUGCAAGCGUUAUCCGGAUUCACUGGGUUUAAAGGGUGCGUAGGCGGAUGUGAAAGUCAGUGGUGAAAUCUCAGAGCUUAACUCUGAAACUGCCAUUGAUACUCUGCAUCUUGAAUUUUCUGGAGGUUAGCGGAAUAUGUCAUGUAGCGGUGAAAUGCUUAGAUAUGACAUAGAACACCGAUUGCGAAGGCAGCUGACUACGGAUGAAUUGACGCUGAGGC
RNAcentral lists this ribosomal RNA (400 nucleotides) under uncultured bacterium. RNAcentral describes it as "bacterial SSU rRNA". It matches the Rfam family "Bacterial small subunit ribosomal RNA", at positions 355 to 752 of the family's 1533-position model. The record is from RNAcentral.